Molecule: long non-coding RNA, 222 nt
Filed under: Manduca sexta (tobacco hornworm)
Lineage: Eukaryota; Metazoa; Arthropoda; Insecta; Lepidoptera; Sphingidae
Description: uncharacterized LOC119190734
Source: RNAcentral
AAAUAUAAAGGAGAUAUCUAUAUAUGCAUUUUAUGCUAUAAUCAUGUAGGAUAUUAUUGUUUUAGGUUUGUUCCACAUCUGCAGAAUAAAUUGCAACAGUAGAAGUGCAACACAGGAAAGAGUUACAUGCUAUUCAGAUGGACAAUGAGCUCCAGUGAAAUAAAAAAAUAAAAUUGAGAUAUAUUAAUAAAAGAAAAAUAUAAAUUUUAUAAAAACAAAUGA